AGCAGAGAUGCUUUGAUGCCUUCGGGAACUCUGAGACAGGUGCUGCAUGGCUGUCGUCAGCUCGUGUUGUGAAAUGUUGGGUUAAGUCCCGNAACGAGCGCAACCCUUAUCCUUUGUUGCCAGCGGUUCGGCCGGGAACUCAAAGGAGACUGCCGGUGAUAAACCGGAGGAAGGUGGGGAUGACGUCAAGUCAUCAUGGCCCUUACGGCCAGGGCUACACACGUGCUACAAUGGCGCAUACAAGGAGAAGCGACCUCGCGAGAGCAAGCGGACCUCAUAAAGUGCGUCGUAGUCCGGAUUGGAGUCUGCAACUCGACUCCAUGAAGUCGGAAUCGCUAGUAAUCGUAGAUCAGAAUGCUACGGUGAAUACGUUCCCGGGCCUUGUACACACCGCCCGUCACACCAUGGGAGUGGGUUGCAAAAGAAGUAGGUAGCUUAACCUUCGGGAGGGCGCUUACCACUUUGUGAUUCAUGACUGGGGUGAAGUCGUAACAAGGUAGGCGUAGCGAG
This 510-nucleotide ribosomal RNA is filed under the name uncultured bacterium. Its description in RNAcentral is "bacterial SSU rRNA". It matches the Rfam family "Bacterial small subunit ribosomal RNA", at positions 999 to 1509 of the family's 1533-position model. The record is from RNAcentral.